Molecule: ribosomal RNA, 423 nt
Filed under: uncultured bacterium
Lineage: Bacteria
Description: bacterial SSU rRNA
Rfam family: Bacterial small subunit ribosomal RNA
Source: RNAcentral
AAGACCUUGCACUUUUGGAGCGGCCGAUGUCUGAUUAGCUAGUUGGUGGGGUAAUGGCCUACCAAAGCUUCGAUCAGUAGCUGGUCUGAGAAGACGGCCAGCCACACUGGGACUGAGACACGGCCCAGACUCCUACGGGAGGCAGCAGUGGGGAAUUUUGGACAAUGGGCGCAAGCCUGAUCCAGCCAUGCCGCGUGAGUGAAGAAGGCCUUCGGGUUGUAAAGCUCUUUCAGCCGGGAAGAAAAGGUUGCGACUAAUAAUCGCAAUCCAUGACGGUACCGAAAGAAGAAGCACCGGCUAACUACGUGCCAGCAGCCGCGGUAAUACGUAGGGUGCGAGCGUUAAUCGGAAUUACUGGGCGUAAAGGGUGCGCAGGCGGUUUUGUAAGUCAGAUGUGAAAUCCCCGGGCUUAACCUGGGAACU